AGCCACCAGAGCUGAGGUGUGCAGAAGCAUAGUGGAAAGGUUCCAAAUGUUCUGUGCUGAGAAAAUUUACACCCUGAUGGCAGGAAUGUGGUAUUUUGCAUCCAAGGCUGUCAUGGCUGGAGAAAUGAGAGUUGGCUGGAGCAGGCCAGAUUGUCAACCUGAUCAGGAACUUGGCUCAGGUCCUAUUCACCCUUUCAGCCUCUGCUGAUUUGCUUCCUCACCUGGGAAGACUUCCUGGCUAACCACUAGAAGAGCUUCUUCAGUGCCAGCUCUCCCAGCCACCGCCACGAGGUGCACUCCAGAAGCCUGCAGCAGCUGGGGAUCUGAUGCCAGGGCCUGCAGAGUUCAGAUCACAACCUUGCUGCCCCAUGGGCCUGUGGGGUGGGGGGCAGGGGAGUGCAGGAAGCCUCUUUGGGGACACCUGGCUGACUGGCCCACAGCUGGGUGUCAGCAAGAGUGGACGCCGCAGAGCCAGGCAUGCAUGACUCGGAGGAAGUGCUGGAUUUCUGCUCCAGGCUGCCUUGGCAAAGAGGUGGUCAUGGCCCAGGAGCUACAACCUGAAGUCUCUGGGCACACAGCAGCUUCAGGAGGCCCAGGAGCAGGAGCUGCAGUGAUGCCAGGGAGCAGAAAUGGCUGCAGCCCAACUCACAGCAGCUGCAGCAUCUCAAGCACCUGGAAUCCUUGUGAGUCCUGGGAUCACACAGUAAGGAUUAAGGGUGGGAGCUACAGAAAAGCCAGUUCUGGCUCAACAACAAGAAGAAUUAGGACCAGGUCAUAUAUUCUUGCUGGUCAGCAUGGCCUGACUCAGGAGGCACUGUGCUCCCCCAGCUGCUUGGGCUUGAAGAGAAACCAGGCAUGUCUCCAACCUUCUCUUGAUUGCUGAGACAAUCAUAGCACUUAAAGACAUCGGAGAGAUUAUAACCUCCUUUGCACAUGAGGAAAUGAAGGCAAAUGAAGGUUUGGUGAUUAAGUAACCUGAUCAAAGAUAGAUGGAAUUGCAGUAAACGUUGAAGCACAUGUAUCUUUUCGAGUCAUGGUUUUCUCUGGAUGUUUGCUGAGGAGUGGGAUUGCUGGAUCAAAUGGGCUGCCCUCAGAGUAUUUGGAAUUUCUAGGCCUGGGGUUGAAUUAGAGCUACAGCUGCCGGCCUACACCACAGCCACAGCAACAUGGGAUUCAAGCUGUGUCUGCAACAUACACCACAGCUCAUAGCAAUGCCAAAUCCCCAACCCAUUGAGCAAGGCCAUGGAUUGAGCCCACAUCCUCAUGGAUGCUAGUCAGAUUUGUUUGUGCUGCACCACAACAGGAACCCUGGGGCUCUUUGAUUUUCAAUUUUUCAGGCUUUAGAAAGGUCACUAACUGGUAGCAGAGGUCACAGCAAAAAGGAAAAGUAGAGCAUUGCUAUAAGAAAACCUCCCCUUAGGCUACUGAGUAUCGUUUCAACCAGUGCUUUUCAAACCUUAAAGUGCACAUGAGUCACUUGAGGAUGUUAUUUGGGUUGGGGUUGAGAUUCACAUUUCUCACAAACUCGUGGGUGAUCCUGACCUGCUGCUCCCUGGGCUUACACAUUGGGUAGUAAGGAGUUAAACUAUGUAGGAAAGAAGGGCUUGCAGAAGCUCAUGAUGUAGUGGUUGACUAAGGAGAAAUUGAUAGAGCAGGAGAAACUAAAUGUUGCCUGUGUCAUUUUGUUAAUAGGGAUAGAUAUUCAGUUUUAUGAUAAGAAGUCUGUAAGAAAUUAGUGCUUGAUGUAGAACAAUUCCAUUUACACAAAGUGUUGGAGUGUUAGUUUUUCAUACUGGAGGUUUUUUCUCCUUUAUUCUAGCAAGCUGAAAAAACUUGUUCAUCAACACGUUAUUUUAUUUUAUUUACUGUACUUUUUCUGCUCCCUUUACUCAGGUAUUUAAUAUGUUCUCUAGGCAGGGCCUAUUAGGUUCUCUCUUCUGCGUUUGCAAGAUGAAGGGAGACCUCUUUGGAUGUUGGGCAGAUCUUCCCUUCCUGUUUACUUUCCUUCAGACUCCUUUUGGAACUGGCUGAUGCAGAUGGUGGAAAGGAUUACUUUCUUGUUGGCUCUCCUGUUUAUUGAUUUUUGUUCUGGGCUAUGUCUCUAUAGCCAAGGCUCGUAUCCUCAUAUCCCCAAGUCUUUAUCCUUUUUGAUGUGUCAGUGGCAUUUCAUAUAGCUUGUCGCUCUGUUUCUCGAUACCCCCUUUUCACUUCCUCCCAGAUAGCUCCCUCCUGGUUUUCCUUUGAUCUCACUGGAUGCCCCUAUUUGGUUUUCUGGCAGACUCCUCUCUUUCUUUGUGUUCUCUGACCCAAGAGAAUGAUGUAUCUUCACCAUAGUAGUCCAAUGGCACAGCAUAAUACAAUUUUCCCAUGCAUCUGGAGUACAAAAUGAGACACUAUGGUAUUUAUUAAGUACUUUUACUUCCCUCUUGAGUUAAAAAAAACAAUAAAAGUGUAAUAGACAUGUUUAUUACAUUUUUGA
Molecule: long non-coding RNA, 2479 nt
Filed under: Sus scrofa (pig)
Lineage: Eukaryota; Metazoa; Chordata; Mammalia; Artiodactyla; Suidae
Description: lncRNA (ENSSSCG00040017136.1)
Source: RNAcentral